RNAcentral lists this ribosomal RNA (466 nucleotides) under uncultured bacterium. RNAcentral describes it as "partial 16S ribosomal RNA". It matches the Rfam family "Bacterial small subunit ribosomal RNA", at positions 29 to 507 of the family's 1533-position model. The record is from RNAcentral.
ACGCACGCUGGCGGCGUGCUUAACACCUGCAAGUCGAACGGAAAGGCCCUGCUUUUGUGGGGUGCUCGAGUGGCGAACGGGUGAGUAACACGUGAGUAACCUGCCCUUGACUUUGGGAUAACUUCAGGAAACUGGGGUAAUUCCCGCAAAGGAGCUCUGCCGGCAGGGUGGGGUUGGGAAGGUUUGGCGGGUGGGGGUGGGCUCGCGGCUUAUCAGCUUGUUGGUGGGGUAGUGGCCUACCAAGGGUUUGACGGGUAGCCGGCCUGGGGGGGUGACCGGCCACAUUGGGACUGAGAUACGGCCCAGACUCCUACGGGAGGCAGCAGUGGGGAAUAUUGCACAAUGGGCGGAAGCCUGAUGCAGCAACGCCGCGUGCGGGAUGACGGCCUUCGGGUUGUAAACCGCUUUCGCCUGUGACGAAGCGUGAGUGACGGUAAUGGGUAAAGAAGCACCGGCUAACUACGUG